GCCGCGGCAAAAUCCGCUGCCGGGUUUCGCAGCCUGAAUAUCACGUUAGAAACACAUAUGUCAUAAUUAUGUGUU
Molecule: small RNA, 75 nt
Filed under: Rahnella aquatilis CIP 78.65 = ATCC 33071
Lineage: Bacteria; Pseudomonadati; Pseudomonadota; Gammaproteobacteria; Enterobacterales; Yersiniaceae
Description: isrK Hfq binding RNA
Source: RNAcentral